RNAcentral lists this long non-coding RNA (458 nucleotides) under Homo sapiens (human). RNAcentral describes it as "HSALNT0000925". The record is from RNAcentral. Lineage: Eukaryota; Metazoa; Chordata; Mammalia; Primates; Hominidae.
UGGGAAAGGGAGGGCUGCGCACAGCGCAGCGGGCAACAGGAGGCCAAGGGAGAAGGCGGUCACAGCCUGGAAAAGAGGGUCGCCAAGCACGCGGAGCUCAUACGUGUAAGCAAAGCAGGACGGCUCCCAGGGAAGUUGAGGUGAAGACGGCUGCUGCAGGCUGAGCUCCAUCACGCGGCUCAGCUUGCAGGCGAUGGACGGAGGAGUCGAGAAACAACAUUGCCAUCUGUGCCGGUGGACAGAAAGCCAGAUGGAGGCUGAGUGCUCGGGGAAGAGGAAACGCCACUGUUUCGGGCCUCGGAAGCAGAAGAUGCUUCCCGGGCCUUAGAAACCUUGUCCGGGGGAAGGUGAGAGCCUUGGCCCUGCCACCAUCACUGACCCCUCUUGGGUGCUGCCCUUCUCCUUCCUUCCAAGAACACCCGAAAGACAGAUCAUGCAUCAUAUUCAGCAUCGCCCAC